AAGCAACGCGAAGAACCUUACCAGGUCUUGACAUCCUUUGACCACUCUAGAGAUAGAGCUUCCCCUUCGGGGGCAAAGUGACAGGUGGUGCAUGGUUGUCGUCAGCUCGUGUCGUGAGAUGUUGGGUUAAGUCCCGCAACGAGCGCAACCCUUAUUGUUAGUUGCCAUCAUUCAGUUGGGCACUCUAGCAAGACUGCCGGUGACAAACCGGAGGAAGGUGGGGAUGACGUCAAAUCAUCAUGCCCCUUAUGACCUGGGCUACACACGUGCUACAAUGGGAAGUACAACGAGUCGCGAAGUCGCGAGGCUAAGCUAAUCUCUUAAAGCUUCUCUCAGUUCGGAUUGCAGGCUGCAACUCGCCUACAUGAAGCCGGAAUCGCUAGUAAUCGCGGAUCAGCACGCCGCGGUGAAUACGCUCCCGGGCCUUGUACACACCGCUCGUCACACCACGAGAGUUUGUAACACCCGAAGUCGGUGAGGUGACCUUUUUGGAGCCAGCCGCCUAAGGUGGGAUAGAUGAUUGGGGUGAAGUCGUAACAAGGUAGCCAAGGGCGAAUUCGCGGC
This 564-nucleotide ribosomal RNA is filed under the name uncultured bacterium. RNAcentral's name for it is "bacterial SSU rRNA". It matches the Rfam family "Bacterial small subunit ribosomal RNA", at positions 954 to 1518 of the family's 1533-position model. The record is from RNAcentral.